Molecule: ribosomal RNA, 465 nt
Filed under: uncultured bacterium
Lineage: Bacteria
Description: partial 16S ribosomal RNA
Rfam family: Bacterial small subunit ribosomal RNA
Source: RNAcentral
CCUACGGGGUGCAGCAGUGGGGAAUAUUGCGCAAUGGGCGAAAGCCUGACGCAGCGACGCCGCGUGAGGGAUGAAGGUCUUCGGAUCGUAAACCUCUUUCAGCAGGGAAGAACGGUCACUGUGCUAAUCAGCAGUGAAUUGACGGUACCUGCAAAGGAAGCACCGGCCAACUCCGUGCCAGCAGCCGCGGUAAUACGGAAGGUGCGGGCGUUAAUCGGAAUUACUGGGCGUAAGGCGAUCGUAGGCGGUAUGUCAAGUCAAGGGUGAAAUCCCCGCGCUCAACGUGGGAACUGCCGUUGAAACUGGCAAACUGGAGUGUGUGAGAGGAUAGUGGAAUUCCAGGUGUAGGAGUGAAAUGCGUAGAUAUCUGGAGGAACAUCAGUGGCGAAGGCGACUAUCUGGCACAUAACUGACGCUGAGGAGCGAAAGCGUGGGUAGCAAACAGGAUUAGAUACCCGAGUAGUC